AGGCAGCAUAUAAUUAGCAACCCAUCAUAUAUUUUCAGAAGAUGGUCAUGACUCGAAUAUUUUUCCUCGUGUGGAAAAGAAAUCUACCAAAAUUUGGAAUUUGACAGUAUUCUAUGAAGUCUUUGGAGCAGAAUGCUGCAACUAACUUGUUGCUCAUGACAACUGUCCUUAAGGAUGGGAAUCGCUUCCUCUCUUGCCGCUCCUUGACACAACUUGCACAGGAGGAAUGCAAAGGAUGGGUGGGAUCUUCCCCAACAGGAGAGUGCAAGGAAGUGACAUACCAGAGAGAUGACGGCACAAGCAAGGCUGCAGCUGCUCCUUCCACCUCCACCCUGUGGGACAACUGCUGAGCAAGAUUUCAAAGGCAAAAGCAACCUACAGGAAAGAAGGAAAAAAAAUGCAUUUAACAACUUCCUUGACUGGUGGUCUGGAUAAGAGUGCAGCACAUUGUAAAGUUGCAUUGAUGGUAGAAAUAUAGGUGGCUUUAUAGACACCUGUGCUUGGAGUUCACAGAGCCCCUGAACAUUCACACAUGAAACAUGGUAAGUUUUCCUGGGCAUUUGGCAAGAAAUGUGAAAACUGAUGCUAUUUGAACGUGUUUGUCUCUCCCAUGUAUACCAUCAGUGCCAGCUUUACCAGAAAGCUAUAACUGGGAAUCAUGUCCAGAAUUCCCUCUGUCAUUCUCCACUAGCAGUGCUUGAAAGGACAGUGUCCUCUUGCUGAACUUUUGUUAAUUGUUAAUCUCGGAAAAAUACAUUCCCUUUCAGGACAUGUCGCAUGUGAAGAGAAAUUGAGCUUAAAUAUGAGCAGGGACAGGGAAUCAUAGAUCAAUGGCUGAGAAAAUUUAAGUAAGUAGGAAUAAAUUUAAGAGAUUGAUUGUGCAACAUGAUGACUAUAGUUAAUAACAAAAUAUCGCAUAUUUGAAAAUUACUAAAAGAGAUUUUAUGUUCUUCAAAUAUAACUACAUGAGAUAAAGCAUAUAUUAAUUAGUUCAAUUCUGUCAUCCUACAAUGUUUCAAAACAUUAUGUUGUGCACCUGAA
Molecule: non-coding RNA, 1041 nt
Organism: Ictidomys tridecemlineatus (thirteen-lined ground squirrel)
Lineage: Eukaryota; Metazoa; Chordata; Mammalia; Rodentia; Sciuridae
Source: RefSeq, a predicted model, not a curated record